This 93-nucleotide signal recognition particle RNA is filed under the name Planctomycetaceae bacterium. Its description in RNAcentral is "signal recognition particle sRNA small type". It matches the Rfam family "Bacterial small signal recognition particle RNA". From Rfam's summary of the family: The signal recognition particle (SRP) is a universally conserved ribonucleoprotein involved in the co-translational targeting of proteins to membranes. Archaeal SRP consists of a 7S RNA and homologues of the eukaryotic SRP19 and SRP54 proteins. The record is from RNAcentral. Lineage: Bacteria; Pseudomonadati; Planctomycetota; Planctomycetia; Planctomycetales; Planctomycetaceae.
CAAGCGGCUCUCGCGAGGGGGAGCCGCGAACCGGGUCAGGCCUUAACCGGAGCAGCCCUAAGCGGGGUACUCUUGUGCGAGAGCCGCUUGGCG